RNAcentral lists this transfer RNA (77 nucleotides) under Deltaproteobacteria bacterium RBG_13_61_14. Its description in RNAcentral is "tRNA-Asp". It matches the Rfam family "tRNA". From Rfam's summary of the family: Transfer RNA (tRNA) molecules are approximately 80 nucleotides in length. Their secondary structure includes four short double-helical elements and three loops (D, anti-codon, and T loops). RNAcentral also lists the same sequence under 2 other names. The record is from RNAcentral. Lineage: Bacteria; Deltaproteobacteria.
GGGGCCGUAGUUAAGUUGGUUAUAACGCUGGCCUGUCAAGCCAGAGGGCGCGGGUUCAAGUCCCGUCGGCCCCGCCA